RNAcentral lists this ribosomal RNA (439 nucleotides) under uncultured bacterium. RNAcentral's name for it is "bacterial SSU rRNA". It matches the Rfam family "Bacterial small subunit ribosomal RNA", at positions 339 to 796 of the family's 1533-position model. The record is from RNAcentral.
CUACGGAGGCAGCAGUGGGGAAUAUUGGACAAUGGGCGAAAGCCUGAUCCAGCCAUGCCGCGUGAGUGACGAAGGCCUUAGGGUUGUAAAGCUCUUUUGGCGGGGAAGAUAAUGACGGUACCCGCAGAAUAAGCUCCGGCUAACUUCGUGCCAGCAGCCGCGGUAAUACGAAGGGAGCUAGCGUUGUUCGGAAUCACUGGGCGUAAAGCGCACGUAGGCGGACUUUCAAGUCAGGGGUGAAAUCCCGGGGCUCAACCUCGGAACUGCCUUUGAUACUGUUGGUCUCGAGUCCGGAAGAGGUGAGUGGAAUUCCUAGUGUAGAGGUGAAAUUCGUAGAUAUUAGGAAGAACACCGGUGGCGAAGGCGGCUCACUGGUCCGGUACUGACGCUGAGGUGCGAAAGCGUGGGGAGCAAACAGGAUUAGAAACCCCUGUAGUCC